This 253-nucleotide ribosomal RNA is filed under the name uncultured bacterium. Its description in RNAcentral is "partial 16S ribosomal RNA". It matches the Rfam family "Bacterial small subunit ribosomal RNA", at positions 524 to 776 of the family's 1533-position model. The record is from RNAcentral.
UACGAGGGGGGCGAGCGUUGUUCGGAAUUAUUGGGCGUAAAGGGUGCGUAGGCGGUUCCGCAAGUCCUGUGUGAAAUCUUCGGGCUCAACUCGAAGUCUGCACGGGAAACUGCGGGGCUUGAGUGUGGGAGAGGUGAGUGGAAUUCCCGGUGUAGCGGUGAAAUGCGUAGAUAUCGGAAGGAACACCAGUGGCGAAGGCGGCUACCUGGCAUGAUACUGACACUGAGGCGCGAGAGCGUGGGGAGCAAACAGG